Molecule: long non-coding RNA, 2084 nt
Organism: Musa acuminata AAA Group (dessert banana)
Lineage: Eukaryota; Viridiplantae; Streptophyta; Magnoliopsida; Zingiberales; Musaceae
Exons: 2
Source: RefSeq, a predicted model, not a curated record
UUCAUUUUUACAUGUUGAAGCAUUAUUUUGUUACAUGAGCAUCCGAAUCAUUAAAAUCCGGAUCGAACUUGAGUUACAUUACGAACCGCACGCAAACCCCCGCGGCGCAACCCUGCCCUAAUCGCAGCGACCGCUCUUUUUCUUCGGCGACUGCGGCGUCUCCUCAAUGAACGACGGCUGCCUUUCUCUCCAUCGGGAAACAGCGACAGUUGGCGGUGGCGUCUUCCCUUUCCGUUAUCUCUCUUUCUCUUCCUCCUUCGCCAUCGCACACUCCCUUCUCCUCCCUCUUUCCCCUCUGUUCAUCGCAGCCCCGCCCCCACCCCCGCCCCACGCGCGCCAGCCCCCCUUCCCCGAUCCCUCCUCCCUCUCCCCCUUUCGUCGCAAGGGUUAUAGCGUGCUUCACAGUUUCUGAAGCUACCAACUGCAAUAGAUAAAUAGUGGAAGGUAGUGUCAGUGCGCAUGUGUCACAUCAAGACAUUAUUUCAGUGGUGGAGAAUUGCUUGGAUUUGAGCAUGAUAAUAAGUAAAUGAUCAAAGGUACUCAUAAUCCACACUCAAACACCAUUUAGAGACUUUAAUCUGAAAGAAAUGGUUUAUGGGAACUGAUGGCAGGUGGAUUUAUGUGAAGAAUUUUAUCUGAUACAGAUGAUCAGCUUGAAGUUUUCAACUUCCUUUUGGUUGGAAGCAGAUACAGAAAAUAUAUUUAGUUUCGAUGCGCUUGAUCUGAGGUAGAAGAGGAGUUGGACUUAUAGAUGAUGUUUUUGGUGCAAAAAAGGCUCUUUUGCCUUUUCCCAUGUAACAAUUCCUCCAUUUAUCUUUCCUCCUAUCAACUUUGCGGCCUGUUUAACUUUUCCACUGCCACAUACGAAAGUUCAGAGCACAGUUCCAACUUGAUAGUGGUCAACCCCCUUCAAUCAUGUGAACUUUCCUCAGAAAAGGCUGCAAAAACAGCCAAGUAUCACGCCUGUCGUAAAAAUUCUUCGAGUCUUUCCAUUGUGUUCUUCAAGCAGAACGGUUGGAGCGAUGCACAAGUCAUGAAAGUUACCCAGAAGUUACCCAAGUUGCUGCGUGCUAAGGUAGAGACUACACUGAAGCCCAGGAUGAGAUCUUUGCAGGACAUGGGAUUUUCUGUUAUUGAAAUAGUUCAGUUGGUUUCAAAAUGUCCGACUAUACUCUUUCAGAAUGUCCAACCGAAGUUGAACUUCUUGAAGUCACUACUUGGUUCUAAUGAGAGGUUACUGAAAGCCUGCAGUAGGAACCGAUUUCUUCUUACUUCUAGCUUAGCUCGGACGAUAAAGCCCAAUAUAUCUCUCUUAAGGGAAUGUGGCAUCAGCGAUGAACACAUCGCGCGUAUGGUGGUGAUGAUCCCGGGUUUUGUUAUUCGAAAAAACAAAUUUAUUAAGGAAGUUAUUGAACAUGUUGAGGAGUUGGGUGUGCCACAUGAUUCUGGAAUGUUCCCUUAUGCACUUCUUGCUGUCUUGAACAUUAGCAGAUCUAACUGUGAUGCUACCUUUGCAACCUUGAAGAGCUUUGGUUGGUCCGAGCCAGACAUCUUUGCCAUACUCAGGAAUAACCCAUUUGUUUGGAAACUCUCGAAGAAGAACAUAUCUGACAAGAUGACAUUCCUGAUAAAGGAAGCUGGUUGUGAGAUGCAGGAUAUCAUUCGCCAACCUGGGAUUCUUUCACGUAGCUUGGAGAAGAGGAUGAGACCUCGGUAUGAAGUUAUGAAUUUUCUUGAGCAGAAUAAAUUGCUGGAUAAAGGACAUAGCCUUAUGUCUGUCAUGCUACUUACCGAGGGGAAGUUCAUAAACAAAUAUCUUUUCCCGUACAAGGAGAAAUUUACUGCUCUCUAUAGUUCCUAUGUUGCUGCUGUGCAGGGAAAGCACCAUGUUGUCCCUGAAAAUUAGGAUUGCAAGUGCUUCCUCGAGACAAAAGUGUAAUCAUACUUACUGCACUAUUUAAUCAUCUUAAAUUUGUGACAACUUAUAUUCUUUAGGAGUUUCUUCUGAGUAGAACAUCCCUGUUGAGUUUGAUAUUUUAUUUCUAAUUAUCUUUUGCGUACAACGCUAGAUACCGUUUAUUUUA